GAGUUUGAUCCUGGCUCAGAUUGAACGCUGGCGGCAGGCCUAACACAUGCAAGUCGAGCGGAUGAAGGGAGCUUGCUCCUGGGUUCAGCGGCGGACGGGUGAGUAAUGCCUAGGAAUCUGCCUGGGUAGUGGGGGAUAACGUCCGGAAACGGGCGCUAAUACCGCAUACGUCCUGAGGGAGAAAGUGGGGGAUCUUCGGACCUCACGCUAUCAGACGAGCCUAGGUCGGAUUAGCUAGUUGGUGGGGUAAAGGCCUACCAAGGCGACGAUCCGUAACUGGUCUGAGAGGAUGAUCAGUCACACUGGAACUGAGACACGGUCCAGACUCCUACGGGAGGCAGCAGUGGGGAAUAUUGGACAAUGGGCGAAAGCCUGAUCCAGCCAUGCCGCGUGUGUGAAGAAGGUCUUCGGAUUGUAAAGCACUUUAAGUUGGGUAGGAAGGGCGAGUAAGUUAAUACCUUGCUGUUUUGACGUUACCUAACAGAAUAAGCACCGGCUAACUUCGUGCCAGCCGCCGCCGU
RNAcentral lists this ribosomal RNA (521 nucleotides) under uncultured microorganism. RNAcentral describes it as "bacterial SSU rRNA". It matches the Rfam family "Bacterial small subunit ribosomal RNA", at positions 9 to 521 of the family's 1533-position model. The record is from RNAcentral.